CAGCAGUAGCCACGGGAAUACAGAGGGUGCGAGCGUUAAUCGGAUUUACUGGGCGUAAAGCGUGCGUAGGCGGCUUUUUAAGUCGGAUGUGAAAUCCCUGAGCUUAACUUAGGAAUUGCAUUCGAUACUGGGAAGCUAGAGUAUGGGAGAGGAUGGUAGAAUUCCAGGUGUAGCGGUGAAAUGCGUAGAGAUCUGGAGGAAUACCGAUGGCGAAGGCAGCCAUCUGGCCUAAUACUGACGCUGAGGUACGAAAGCAUGGGGAGCAAACAGGAUUAGAUACCCCCGUAGUCCCUGUCUCUUAUAC
This 304-nucleotide ribosomal RNA is filed under the name uncultured bacterium. RNAcentral describes it as "partial 16S ribosomal RNA". It matches the Rfam family "Bacterial small subunit ribosomal RNA", at positions 506 to 807 of the family's 1533-position model. The record is from RNAcentral.